RNAcentral lists this ribosomal RNA (468 nucleotides) under uncultured bacterium. RNAcentral describes it as "partial 16S ribosomal RNA". It matches the Rfam family "Bacterial small subunit ribosomal RNA", at positions 28 to 507 of the family's 1533-position model. The record is from RNAcentral.
GACGAACGCUGGCGGCGUGCUUAACACAUGCAAGUCGAACGGAAAGGCCCUGCUUUUGUGGGGUGCUCGAGUGGCGAACGGGUGAGUAACACGUGAGUAACCUGCCCUUGACUUUGGGAUAACUUCAGGAAACUGGGGCUAAUACCGGAUAGGAGCUCCUGCUGCAUGGUGGGGGUUGGAAAGUUUCGGCGGUUGGGGAUGGACUCGCGGCUUAUCAGCUUGUUGGUGGGGUAGUGGCUUACCAAGGCUUUGACGGGUAGCCGGCCUGAGAGGGUGACCGGCCACAUUGGGACUGAGAUACGGCCCAGACUCCUACGGGAGGCAGCAGUGGAGAAUAUUGCACAAUGGGCGGAAGCCUAAUGCAGCAACGCAGCGUGCGGGAUGAGGGCCUUCGGGUUGUAAACCGCUUUCGCCUGUGACGAAGCGUGAGUGACGGUAAUGGGUAAAGAAGCACCGGCUAACUACGUG